GUACAACUCUGAGCGGUGGAUCACUCGGCUCGUGUGUCGAUGAAGAGCGCAGCCAACUGUGUGAAUUAAUGUGAACUGCAUACUGCUUUGAACAUCGACAUCUUGAACGCAUAUUGCGGCCAUGGGUUAGCCUGUGGCCACGCCUGUCCGAGGGUCG
Molecule: ribosomal RNA, 157 nt
Filed under: Lepocreadium trulla
Lineage: Eukaryota; Metazoa; Platyhelminthes; Trematoda; Plagiorchiida; Lepocreadiidae
Description: 5.8S ribosomal RNA
Rfam family: 5.8S ribosomal RNA
About the family: 5.8S ribosomal RNA (5.8S rRNA) is a component of the large subunit of the eukaryotic ribosome. It is transcribed by RNA polymerase I as part of the 45S precursor that also contains 18S and 28S rRNA.
Source: RNAcentral